AUACGGAGGAUGCAAGCGUUAUCCGGAUUUAUUGGGUUUAAAGGGUGCGUAGGCGGAUGAUUAAGCGUGAGGUGAAAUGCCACUGCUCAACAGUGGAACUGCCUCGCGAACUGGUUGUCUUGAAUGCUCCUGCCGUGGGAGGAAUGUGUGGUGUAGCGGUGAAAUGCAUAGAGAUCACACAGAACACCGAUUGCGAAGGCAUCUCACGAAGGAGUUAUUGACGCUGAGGCACGAAAGCGUGGGGAUCAAACAGGAUUAGAUACCCUGGUAGUCCACGCAGUAAACGAUGAUAACGAACCGCUGGGUCGUAGUGAUUCAGUGGCCAAGCGAAAGCGAUAAGUUAUCCACCUGGGGAGUACGACCGCAAGGUUGAGACUCAAAUGAAUUGACGGGG
This 394-nucleotide ribosomal RNA is filed under the name uncultured bacterium. RNAcentral's name for it is "partial 16S ribosomal RNA". It matches the Rfam family "Bacterial small subunit ribosomal RNA", at positions 523 to 918 of the family's 1533-position model. The record is from RNAcentral.